ACUGCUGAGCCAUCUCUCCAGCCCCAAUCAAAUACGCAUUCUUAAAAAUUUUGAAAGCAGGGGCUGGAGAGAUGGCUCAGCAGU
Cricetulus griseus (Chinese hamster) is the source of this 84-nucleotide non-coding RNA. The record is from Rfam. NCBI's taxonomy places the organism in Eukaryota, Metazoa, Chordata, Mammalia, Rodentia, Cricetidae.